Molecule: long non-coding RNA, 4309 nt
Filed under: Podarcis lilfordi (Lilford's wall lizard)
Lineage: Eukaryota; Metazoa; Chordata; Lepidosauria; Squamata; Lacertidae
Source: RNAcentral
GCUCUCCAGGCUUCAGGAAGCUAUCCGCAAGCCUUGCAAGCCCAGCAGGAGUUCCCGCGGGCUCACAAGGCUUGUGGGCAGCAGCCUGCCGCCUGAAGCACGGGGAGCCCUCCGGAGGGCUCCCCGUGCUUCGGGCGGGUGUCCGCAAGGCUUGGGGCUGCAGCCACGGCUGGGGGGGAAUAAUUUUUUUUUAUUCAUUUCCCCCACCAAAAAAACAAGGUGUGUCCUAUGGGCCGGUGCGCCCUAUAGGAUGAAAAAUACGGUACGUAUUUAAUGAAAUAAAUAAAUUAAACAAAUUACUAUUCAGCAUGAUGUCUGAACUUUGGCUUGUGGUUUGUCUCCCUGAAAGCAGGAGCGGUAAGCCAAGAACAAGACUUAGCUACAGCUCAUGGUUUGUUUGGAAAGAAACAAACAAACCGUGAGCCGGGUUCAGAUAAAACCAUGGCUUAGCACACAUCUUUCAGAAACAAGAGCAGAGGAGGAGCAAAGGACCUGCGAUUUUGACAAGAUGCACUAGCAUCUUAAGUUUAAAUCUUUAGUUUAGCUUAUGGCUUUAAGUGAUGUGCAGCCAAGGCUACUACUGUGUGAUGAUACUGAUAAGUCAUUGAGCAAACCCUAUUGAAACGAAUAUGAGCCAUGAAAACAUGUGGCGUUUUUGCACAACUUCACUUGGAUUAAACUAGUCUCGUUGUUUUUGCAAUUGCUGAUAACCUGCUUUUCUGUCACCUUCCCCCUUCUUGGAACUGUGCUGUGAGCUACAUUCGCCAUGGGGUUCAACCUUCCUGUGAGAUGUUUUCCACACCCCAACAACACUCACCAAGAGAAUCAGAACCAUUACAUAACAGGUAAUUUCCCCGUUCCUAUUCUGGGCUGCUGGCUGUGUUAAAUUCUGUCCACACCUUCCCUUUGUUCUGUUGGUUUCAAUUAGAUGGUAAGCCAUAUGGUCUGGAACAGCUAUCUGCUUCCAUACAGUGCCUAGUUGUUACAUAACUGUGGUAGUAAAGGGAGGGCCUUUUUGGGUUUACUGGAAAAAUUCAUGCCCUGUAUCAUGGAAAAGGUCCCCAUUUCGUAUCCAGAAACAAAAUUUGAAAAGACUUGAAAUUCAAGUAGUUUUGCAUUUCAUUCUGGCUGUUUCACAAAUCUCACCUUGUGGCAUCACAGCCAGAGGUGAAAUUCAAUCCCUGCUUCUAAAAGCAAGGAAAAAUACUAUUACAGUGUCUGUCUGUCUCUGUCUGUCUGUCUGUCUGUCUGUCUCUUUGACAUCAGAAAUGAGUCUGGGUAAAUGCAUGAAUUUUAUCUUUAAAAACUGUUGACUCUUAAUUCUAGCAUGUACCUACAAAGUUCAUUUCAUUCACCCAACCCAACUAAGACUGAAUUGACCACACUAUGAACACCCACAGCACGUUGUCUAAAUGAAAACCAUUUUCAAUUAGUUGAACUGUAAUCUCUUCCAAAUUGAUGGUAAGGUAUAAAGAAGGUACAGGGAAGUUCCCAUCUGCCCCAACCAACAUGACCAAUGGUCAGGGAUGAUGGGAGUUGCAGUCCACCAACACCUGGAGAGACAAAAUUUCGCUAUCCUUGAUAGAAGGCACACAUUGCUUAUAUACUUCCCUGAGACUAUGGCUGGUAACUCAUUAAGACAUGUUGCUAGACUACAAGACAGGGAAGAAGGGACUGUAGUCUAGUGUUAGAAUGCAUGCUUUGCAUAGAGAAAGUCUCACGCUUAAUUCCAUAUUUAAUCCCUUUAACCUAUGGAUUACAGGACUGGGCGACAGGUGAUGGGAAGGACUCUCUGCUAGUGAUCCUGGAUCCAGUACUACUCAGAGUAAACAACCCUGGGUGAGAUGGACAAAUAAUCCGACCUGGUAUAAACUUGCAUUUUACAGCCCCAUAUAGAGAUGGAUUUUGGUACCAUGGCAUUCUGAGCAAGGACAAAACUUGCCCCCGCCCAGAAAAAUAAUGAUUUUAUUUUUACAAUAAUUCCUUUUGGUACAGUUGCUUUUUUAUGGAACUUCUCAGCAGGUACCCAUAUAAAUAUAGGGUUGUUGUUGUUGUUGUUGUUGUUGUUGUUGUUGUUUUGUACCCCCUCAACUCUGCACCCUGUGUGGCACCCAUCCUGAAUUUGGCCCUGGCCCUUCCUCCAACUCAAUUCUCAUGGUAAGGUUCUGCAAGACAGGGAGUAACUACAGAAGUAUUUUGAAAACUUUGGAAGAUCAACAACAGCAGGGGAAAGAUAAUGUAUUUGGGGGCUCCGUUAAUUUGUCUUGCAUGGCGAAGCUUGUAGCGGCCACUGCAUUGACUAAAAAAAGACUGUGUUGAAAUGGUACAAAGGUUAAGUUGCUGAGGCCGAUACGAAACAUCUCCAUUUCAAAAGGCCAGGCUUUCAGGAGAACCACAAACGUUGGGAGAGAGCAUGCUUGGCACAUCUUAACAGUGGGCAACUGUGUUCCCUGCUGCAAUGGUUUCUCUUGGGUGGGUUACGCAGCCACACUAUUUGUAUUUGUGCCUUCUGCUUCAUUAGCAUGAGAUCGAGACCACUGGCUUUAGGCCAGAGCCUCUUGAUCAGAUUGAAGGCAUUUGCACUUUCAUUUUGCACAUGACGUGCUGACACAAAGCACUGCUUGAAGAAGUUCUACCCUGGCUGCCAUGUCCUCCGAGCAUCCAUGGCUGCUCCUUACAUGUAUGGCAUUUGGCGAGUGGUAGAGAAACUAGCAGGGUGGCGCUGUGGGUUAAACCACAGAGCCUAGGACUUGCCGAUCAGAAGGUCGGUGGUUCAAAUCCCCGCAACGGGGUGAGUUCCCGUUGCUCGGUCCCUGCUCCUGCCAAUCUAGCAGUUCGAAAGCACGUCAAAGUGCAAGUAGAUAAAUAGGUACCGCUCUGGUGGGAAGGUAAACGGCGUUUCCGUGCACUGCUCUGGUUCGCCAGAAGUGGCUUAGUCAUGCUGGCCACAUGACCCGGAAGCUGCACGCCGGCUCCCUCGGCCAAUAAAGCGAGAUGAGCGCCACAACCCCAGAUUUGGCCACGACUGGAGCUAAUGGUCAGGGGUCCCUUUACCUUUUAGAGAAACCAGCAUCCAAAGAACCUCAGCUUAUGCUUAGACAGGAGGGCCACAGAAGUCGGUACGGGUUUGACUGGUGAUGGUGAUGGUGUGCGGGAUAAUUGCCAGUGGGUUUUACAGGCCUCUCACUUGCCCUUUUCUGACUCUCAUGCAUGUGUUCUCAAUCCCAUAUAGGGUGGGGAAGAUGAUCAGGUAUUGGGGAUGAGUGGCGUCGCUCAGUUUGCAUCAAAAGAGUUGCCACUGGGCGAGCAGAGACUGAAAGACUGAGGACCCAAUGAGAAGAGCCUCUUUCGUACAUCAUGAUGAACAUUCACACAUGGGAUCACAGCCACUGGUAUCUCUUCAGAUGAAGGCAUAGGAAAAGCAUGUGCAUGUUCUGACCACAAGCAAGUGCAGUCUCACUCUCCUACCUCUCACCACAACAAUGUGCAUGCUCCUAAUAACAUCUUAUCCGGAGACCUGUUCCACACAAUGUAGGAAGAAGAAGAGUUUGGAUUUGGAUUUGAUAUCCCGCUUUAUCAAUACCCUAAGGAGUCUCAAAGCGGCUAACAAACUUCUUUUCCCUUCUUCCCCCACAACAAACACUCUGUGAGGUGAGUGAGGCUGAGAGACUUCAGAGAAGUGUGACUAGCCCAAGGUCACCCAGCAGCUGCAUGUGGAGGAGCGGGGAAUCAAACCCGGUUCACCAGAUUAUGAGUCCACUGCUCUUAACCACUACACCACACUGGACACUUCGCAUUAUGGCAGCUGCCCUACUGAAGAUCUUCCUCUUUUAACCAGCCUUUUCCAGUCUGCAUCUGUACUAAAAUAGUUUUUAAGAUUUUUACAACAGCUCUAUCCCUUGUUGUUUUCUGCCCUGGGAUGAAGGGCGGGAUACAAAUUUAACAAAUAAACAACCAGCGCAACCCAUCAACUUCCACAAUUUUAUACUAUCAUGAGUCUCUAAUGUAGGAGUGGAAAAUAUUUUUUGUGUCUGCCAGCCAGAUCCUGAUCAGAUUCUAGCCUAGAAGGCGGAUAGUGGAUCUGGAAGGUGGAUCUGUCAAACGCCUGGCAUCACUGUGUGCUGUGAUUUCAGUUUUACUGUUCAUCGGCUGAUGGGCAGUAGAGUUCCCAGGAAUCUUUGGGGAAGUCACAUGCCUUCCCCAUAUGAUGUGGGUAUGACCUACCGUAUUUUUCGCUCUAUAGGACGCACUUUUUCCCCUCCAACAAUUAAGCGGAAAUGUGUGUGCGUCCUAUGGAGCGAAUUCAGGC